UUCAAAACGUCGUGAGACAGUUUGGUCCCUAUCCACCAUGGUCGUAAGAUAUUUGAGGGGAGCUGCUCCUAGUACGAGAGGACCGGAGUGGACGCACCACUAGCGUAUCUGUUGUCGCGCCAGCGGCACUAAGCAGAGUAACCAAGUGCGGCCCGGAUAACCGCUGAAGGCAUCUAAGCGGGAAACCGCCCCCGAGAUGAGAUAUCUCAUACGGAAGCGUAGUAAGACGCCCCCGAGACGAGGGGAUAGAUAGGACGGGAAUGUAAGCGCAGCGAUGCGUUGAGUUGACCGUUACUAAAGCGUCGAGGCCUUAACCUG
RNAcentral lists this ribosomal RNA (318 nucleotides) under Clostridia bacterium. RNAcentral's name for it is "partial 23S ribosomal RNA". It matches the Rfam family "Bacterial large subunit ribosomal RNA", at positions 2610 to 2925 of the family's 2925-position model. The record is from RNAcentral. Lineage: Bacteria; Bacillati; Bacillota; Clostridia.